UAAAAGGUAAGCUAAUAAAGCUAUUGGGUUCAUGCCCCGUUAAUAAAAAUUUUAAUUUUUUUCUUUUAA
Molecule: transfer RNA, 69 nt
Filed under: Neodiprion qinghaiicus
Lineage: Eukaryota; Metazoa; Arthropoda; Insecta; Hymenoptera; Diprionidae
Description: tRNA-Met
Source: RNAcentral